RNAcentral lists this ribosomal RNA (464 nucleotides) under Haptophyta environmental samples. Its description in RNAcentral is "SSU rRNA". It matches the Rfam family "Eukaryotic small subunit ribosomal RNA", at positions 432 to 900 of the family's 1831-position model. Lineage: Eukaryota; Haptophyta. The record is from RNAcentral.
GCGCGUAAAUUGCCCGAAUCCUGACACAGGGAGGUAGUGACAAGAAAUAACAAUACAGGGCUCUCUGAGUCUUGUAAUUGGAAUGAGUACAAUUUACAUCUCUUCACGAGGAUCAAUUGGAGGGCAAGUCUGGUGCCAGCAGCCGCGGUAAUUCCAGCUCCAAUAGCGUAUAUUAAAGUUGUUGCAGCUAGAACGCUCGUAGUCGGAUUUCGGGGCGGGACGACCGGUCUGCCGAUGGGUAUGCACUGGUGGUCGCGUCCUUCCUUCCGGAGACCGUGCCUACUCUUAACUGAGCGGGUGCGGGAGACGGAUCGUUUACUUUGAAAAAAUCAGAGUGUUUCAAGCAGGCAGCUCGCUCUUGCAUGGAUUAGCAUGGGAUAAUGAAAUAGGACUUUGGUGCUAUUUUGUUGGUUUCGAACACCGAAGUAAUGAUUAACAGGGACAGUCAGGGGCACUCGUAUUCC